UUAAGCGACUAAGCGUACACGGUGGAUGCCCUGGCAGUCAGAGGCGAUGAAGGACGUGCUAAUCUGCGAUAAGCGUCGGUAAGGUGAUAUGAACCGUUAUAACCGGCGAUUUCCGAAUGGGGAAACCCAGUGUGUUUCGACACACUAUCAUUAACUGAAUCCAUAGGUUAAUGAGGCGAACCGGGGGAACUGAAACAUCUAAGUACCCCGAGGAAAAGAAAUCAACCGAGAUUCCCCCAGUAGCGGCGAGCGAACGGGGAGCAGCCCAGAGCCUGAAUCAGUGUGUGUGUUAGUGGAAGCGUCUGGAAAGGCGUGCGAUACAGGGUGACAGCCCCGUACACAAAAAUGCACAUGCUGUGAGCUCGAUGAGUAGGGCGGGACACGUGGUAUCCUGUCUGAAUAUGGGGGGACCAUCCUCCAAGGCUAAAUACUCCUGACUGACCGAUAGUGAACCAGUACCGUGAGGGAAAGGCGAAAAGAACCCCGGCGAGGGGAGUGAAAAAGAACCUGAAACCGUGUACGUACAAGCAGUGGGAGCACGCUUAGGCGUGUGACUGCGUACCUUUUGUAUAAUGGGUCAGCGACUUAUAUUCUGUAGCAAGGUUAACCGAAUAGGGGAGCCGAAGGGAAACCGAGUCUUAACUGGGCGUUAAGUUGCAGGGUAUAGACCCGAAACCCGGUGAUCUAGCCAUGGGCAGGUUGAAGGUUGGGUAACACUAACUGGAGGACCGAACCGACUAAUGUUGAAAAAUUAGCGGAUGACUUGUGGCUGGGGGUGAAAGGCCAAUCAAACCGGGAGAUAGCUGGUUCUCCCCGAAAGCUAUUUAGGUAGCGCCUCGUGAAUUCAUCUCCGGGGGUAGAGCACUGUUUCGGCAAGGGGGUCAUCCCGACUUACCAACCCGAUGCAAACUGCGAAUACCGGAGAAUGUUAUCACGGGAGACACACGGCGGGUGCUAACGUCCGUCGUGAAGAGGGAAACAACCCAGACCGCCAGCUAAGGUCCCAAAGUCAUGGUUAAGUGGGAAACGAUGUGGGAAGGCCCAGACAGCCAGGAUGUUGGCUUAGAAGCAGCCAUCAUUUAAAGAAAGCGUAAUAGCUCACUGGUCGAGUCGGCCUGCGCGGAAGAUGUAACGGGGCUAAACCAUGCACCGAAGCUGCGGCAGCGACGCUGAUGCGUUGUUGGGUAGGGGAGCGUUCUGUAAGCCUGCGAAGGUGUACUGUGAGGUAUGCUGGAGGUAUCAGAAGUGCGAAUGCUGACAUAAGUAACGAUAAAGCGGGUGAAAAGCCCGCUCGCCGGAAGACCAAGGGUUCCUGUCCAACGUUAAUCGGGGCAGGGUGAGUCGACCCCUAAGGCGAGGCCGAAAGGCGUAGUCGAUGGGAAACAGGUUAAUAUUCCUGUACUUGGUGUUACUGCGAAGGGGGGACGGAGAAGGCUAUGUUGGCCGGGCGACGGUUGUCCCGGUUUAAGCGUGUAGGCUGGUUUUCCAGGCAAAUCCGGAAAAUCAAGGCUGAGGCGUGAUGACGAGGCACUACGGUGCUGAAGCAACAAAUGCCCUGCUUCCAGGAAAAGCCUCUAAGCAUCAGGUAACAUCAAAUCGUACCCCAAACCGACACAGGUGGUCAGGUAGAGAAUACCAAGGCGCUUGAGAGAACUCGGGUGAAGGAACUAGGCAAAAUGGUGCCGUAACUUCGGGAGAAGGCACGCUGAUAUGUAGGUGAAGUCCCUUGCGGAUGGAGCUGAAAUCAGUCGAAGAUACCAGCUGGCUGCAACUGUUUAUUAAAAACACAGCACUGUGCAAACACGAAAGUGGACGUAUACGGUGUGACGCCUGCCCGGUGCCGGAAGGUUAAUUGAUGGGGUCAGCGCAAGCGAAGCUCUUGAUCGAAGCCCCGGUAAACGGCGGCCGUAACUAUAACGGUCCUAAGGUAGCGAAAUUCCUUGUCGGGUAAGUUCCGACCUGCACGAAUGGCGUAAUGAUGGCCAGGCUGUCUCCACCCGAGACUCAGUGAAAUUGAACUCGCUGUGAAGAUGCAGUGUACCCGCGGCAAGACGGAAAGACCCCGUGAACCUUUACUAUAGCUUGACACUGAACAUUGAGCCUUGAUGUGUAGGAUAGGUGGGAGGCUUGGAAGUGUGGACGCCAGUCUGCAUGGAGCCGACCUUGAAAUACCACCCUUUAAUGUUUGAUGUUCUAACGUUGACCCGUAAUCCGGGUUGCGGACAGUGUCUGGUGGGUAGUUUGACUGGGGCGGUCUCCUCCUAAAGAGUAACGGAGGAGCACGAAGGUUGGCUAAUCCUGGUCGGACAUCAGGAGGUUAGUGCAAUGGCAUAAGCCAGCUUGACUGCGAGCGUGACGGCGCGAGCAGGUGCGAAAGCAGGUCAUAGUGAUCCGGUGGUUCUGAAUGGAAGGGCCAUCGCUCAACGGAUAAAAGGUACUCCGGGGAUAACAGGCUGAUACCGCCCAAGAGUUCAUAUCGACGGCGGUGUUUGGCACCUCGAUGUCGGCUCAUCACAUCCUGGGGCUGAAGUAGGUCCCAAGGGUAUGGCUGUUCGCCAUUUAAAGUGGUACGCGAGCUGGGUUUAGAACGUCGUGAGACAGUUCGGUCCCUAUCUGCCGUGGGCGCUGGAGAACUGAGGGGGGCUGCUCCUAGUACGAGAGGACCGGAGUGGACGCAUCACUGGUGUUCGGGUUGUCAUGCCAAUGGCACUGCCCGGUAGCUAAAUGCGGAAGAGAUAAGUGCUGAAAGCAUCUAAGCACGAAACUUGCCCCGAGAUGAGUUCUCCCUGACCCUUUAAGGGUCCUGAAGGAACGUUGAAGACGACGACGUUGAUAGGCCGGGUGUGUAAGCGCAGCGAUGCGUUGAGCUAACCGGUACUAAUGAACCGUGAGGCUUAACCUU
Molecule: ribosomal RNA, 2902 nt
Filed under: Escherichia coli KTE35
Lineage: Bacteria; Pseudomonadati; Pseudomonadota; Gammaproteobacteria; Enterobacterales; Enterobacteriaceae
Description: bacterial LSU rRNA
Rfam family: Bacterial large subunit ribosomal RNA
Source: RNAcentral